Long non-coding RNA from Lampris incognitus (smalleye Pacific opah), 142 nucleotides. RefSeq lists it as uncharacterized. NCBI's taxonomy places the organism in Eukaryota, Metazoa, Chordata, Actinopteri, Lampriformes, Lampridae. The record is from RefSeq and is a predicted model, not a curated record. The transcript has 3 exons.
GGGAGAUGGCAGCACAACUUGAAGGUCGUUCUUUCCUCUGCCCCGCUGGUUGGGUCAGACACACGGAUGGCUGUUAUCUAUACGUGACCUCUGGUAGAUCCUGGACCAGCGCAGAGUUGCCCUAUAAGAGGCCGUUGUAAAG